RNAcentral lists this long non-coding RNA (506 nucleotides) under Phoenix dactylifera (date palm). RNAcentral describes it as "long non-coding RNA (PDAC_LNC006049)". The record is from RNAcentral. Lineage: Eukaryota; Viridiplantae; Streptophyta; Magnoliopsida; Arecales; Arecaceae.
ACGAGCAAGACAUACAAGACUCUGAAGCACCCACAUGCUGCUUUUGAUAAGAAAUAGACUUGUAAAACCAUGCAAUCAAACUCCAGUGCCCAUUCUCACUGAUUCCGCUCAAAUUCUCGUUUCAAAACCCGGGCAAUCAACCUCCAUUUUCAUGCAUGCACAGAGAGGAAAAGUGAAAUAAAGGAAGCAUGAUGGAGACGUCAUGGAAUGGAGGCCUACCGGAAGAGGUCAAAGGAUCGAGCCUGGGAAUUGUCGAAGGUGGCAGGAGUGAUGGGUUGUGAGAACUCGUCGAAGCUGAUACCCCGACGAGCUCCUUUGCGGUGAGGGUGUGGCCAAGCUUGCGCCUUGGUUUGGCCGAGCUCGGCGGUGGUGAACUGGUGAUGAAACCGUCGUCGUCCCAGUCAAGUUGCCUUCACGCCUUCCUCCUCCUCUCCGGCCUCCCCCAGCCGGACCUCGUCCUCUGCACCGUUCUUGCCUCCGCCUUCGCCCGCUGCGGGCUCCUCGAU